GAUGAACGCUAGCUACAGGCUUAACACAUGCAAGUCGAGGGGAAACGAUAGAGAAAGCUUGCUUUUUCUAGGCGUCGACCGGCGCACGGGUGAGUAACGCGUAUCCAACCUGCCCACCACUUGGGGAUAACCUUGCGAAAGUAAGACUAAUACCCAAUGAUAUCUCAAGAAGACAUCUGAAUGAGAUUAAAGAUUUAUCGGUGAUGGAUGGGGAUGCGUCUGAUUAGCUUGUUGGCGGGGUAACGGCCCACCAAGGCGACGAUCAGUAGGGGUUCUGAGAGGAAGGUACCCCACAUUGGAACUGAGACACGGUCCAAACUCCUACGGGAGGCAGCAGUGAGGAAUAUUGGUCAAUGGGCGAGAGCCUGAACCAGCCAAGUAGCGUGCAGGAUGACGGCCCUAUGGGUUGUAAACUGCUUUUAUAAGGGAAUAAAGUGAGCCUCGUGAGGCUUUUUGCAUGUACCUUAUGAAUAAGGACCGGCUAAUUCCGUGCCAGCCGCCGCAGUAA
RNAcentral lists this ribosomal RNA (508 nucleotides) under uncultured bacterium. RNAcentral's name for it is "partial 16S ribosomal RNA". It matches the Rfam family "Bacterial small subunit ribosomal RNA", at positions 28 to 523 of the family's 1533-position model. The record is from RNAcentral.